Leptopilina boulardi is the source of this 148-nucleotide long non-coding RNA. RefSeq lists it as uncharacterized. The record is from RefSeq and is a predicted model, not a curated record. The transcript is spliced from 3 exons. Lineage: Eukaryota; Metazoa; Arthropoda; Insecta; Hymenoptera; Figitidae.
GUUUUACAACUUCUUCGCAAGGAAUUUAUUGCAUUAAUUUUCUCAUUAUGAUGAAAUGGCUCAUUUUAAGAUUCAAUAAUAGAAGAACAGAAAGAGAGAAAGGUCUAAUGAACCAAAAUGAAGGAAACGAGGCAAUAACAGAAAUGGU